CUGCUACCAUGCAAGUCGAGCGGGAUGAAGGGAGCUUGCUCCUGGAUUCAGCGGCGGACGGGUGAGUAAUGCCUAGGAAUCUGCCUGGUAGUGGGGGAUAACGUCCGGAAACGGGCGCUAAUACCGCAUACGUCCUGAGGGAGAAAGUGGGGGAUCUUCGGACCUCACGCUAUCAGAUGAGCCUAGGUCGGAUUAGCUAGUUGGUGGGGUAAAGGCCUACCAAGGCGACGAUCCGUAACUGGUCUGAGAGGAUGAUCAGUCACACUGGAACUGAGACACGGUCCAGACUCCUACGGGAGGCAGCAGUGGGGAAUAUUGGACAAUGGGCGAAAGCCUGAUCCAGCCAUGCCGCGUGUGUGAAGAAGGUCUUCGGAUUGUAAAGCACUUUAAGUUGGGAGGAAGGGCAGUAAGUUAAUACCUUGCUGUUUUGACGUUACCAACAGAAUAAGCACCGGCUAACUUCGUGCCAGCAGCCGCGGUAAUACGAAGGGUGCAAGCGUUAAUCGGAAUUACUGGGCGUAAAGCGCGCGUAGGUGGUUCAGCAAGUUGGAUGUGAAAUCCCCGGGCUCAACCUGGGAACUGCAUCCAAAACUACUGAGCUAGAGUACGGUAGAGGGUGGUGGAAUUUCCUGUGUAGCGGUGAAAUGCGUAGAUAUAGGAAGGAACACCAGUGGCGAAGGCGACCACCUGGACUGAUACUGACACUGAGGUGCGAAAGCGUGGGGAGCAAACAGGAUUAGAUACCCUGGUAGUCCACGCCGUAAACGAUGUCGACUAGCCGUUGGGAUCCUUGAGAUCUUAGUGGCGCAGCUAACGCGAUAAGUCGACCGCCUGGGGAGUACGGCCGCAAGGUUAAAACUCAAAUGAAUUGACGGGGGCCCGCACAAGCGGUGGAAGCAUGUGGUUUAAUUCCAAGCAACGCUAAAAACCUUACCUGGCCUUGACAUGCUGAGAACUUUCCAAAAAUGGAUUGUUGCCUUCGGAAACCCAAACCCUGGUGCUGGAUGGCUUUCGUCCAUUCCGUGCCCGGAAAUG
RNAcentral lists this ribosomal RNA (1035 nucleotides) under Pseudomonas aeruginosa. Its description in RNAcentral is "bacterial SSU rRNA". It matches the Rfam family "Bacterial small subunit ribosomal RNA", at positions 48 to 1074 of the family's 1533-position model. The record is from RNAcentral. Lineage: Bacteria; Pseudomonadati; Pseudomonadota; Gammaproteobacteria; Pseudomonadales; Pseudomonadaceae.